This 460-nucleotide ribosomal RNA is filed under the name uncultured bacterium. RNAcentral's name for it is "partial 16S ribosomal RNA". It matches the Rfam family "Bacterial small subunit ribosomal RNA", at positions 338 to 795 of the family's 1533-position model. The record is from RNAcentral.
CCUACGGGUGGCAGCAGUGAGGAAUAUUGGUCAAUGGGCGCGAGCCUGAACCAGCCAAGUAGCGUGAAGGAUGACUGCCCUACGGGUUGUAAACUUCUUUUAUAGAGGAAUAAAGCAAGGCACGUGUGCCCUUUUGUAUGUACCUUAUGAAUAAGGAUCGGCUAACUCCGUGCCAGCAGCCGCGGUAAUACGGAGGAUCCGAGCGUUAUCCGGAUUUAUUGGGUUUAAAGGGAGCGUAGGUGGGGUUGUAAGUCAGGUGUGAAAGUUUGCGGCUCAACCGUAAAAUUGCAGUUGAUACUGGCAGCCUUGAGUGCAGUAGAGGUAGGCGGAAUUCGUGGUGUAGCGGUGAAAUGCUUAGAUAUCACGAAGAACUCCGAUUGCGAAGGCAGCCUACUGGACUGCAACUGACAUUGAUGCUCGAAAGUGUGGGUAUCAAACAGGAUUAGAUACCCGUGUAGUC